Molecule: unclassified non-coding RNA, 235 nt
Filed under: Oidiodendron sp.
Lineage: Eukaryota; Fungi; Ascomycota; Leotiomycetes; Myxotrichaceae
Also listed under: 2 other names
Description: partial contains 5.8S ribosomal RNA, internal transcribed spacer 2, and large subunit ribosomal RNA
Rfam family: 5.8S ribosomal RNA (bases 1-52)
Source: RNAcentral
AACGCACAUUGCGCCCUGUGGUAUUCCGCAGGGCAUGCCUGUUCGAGCGUCAUUUCAACCCUCAAGCUCUGCUUGGUGUUGGGCCCCGCCCGCUCGCGGCCGGCCCUAAAGACAGUGGCGGCGGCGUCUGGCUCCAAGCGUAGUACAGCUCUCGCUCUGGGGCUAGGCGGUAGCCUGCCAGAACCCCCCUUCUAUGGUUGACCUCGGAUCAGGUAGGGAUACCCGCUGAACUUAA